UAAAUAGCGGUGACAACAAUAGCAAUUAGGAUUUAGGACCUACUUGCGGUGGCUUCCAUUCAUAGAGAGAUCACAGAUUUCAGAUUAGAGAAAAACAAAUGCAGCUUUUGUGCCUCAUAGGUUGGCUCCAAUAAUUGCUCGUCUAAAGACUAGAUGGACUUAAAAAGGUGAUUGUUUCAUGGAAAGGACUUAACGUCAUAGGUAGAAGACUUCAGAUCCUACUGGUUAAUGAGAUAAGUAUUUGCAACAUAUACUACAAGCUUUUGUAGCAUACAAUUAUUCUCACAUUUUUUUUUGUGGAUUUAUUCUUCGCUAACGUUAACUUGAAACUAUAAUGUCUUUCAUGGGCAUGAAACCAUUUUUUGGACUAUGGCAGUUAUUCACUUCUUUACAGCCCCAUUUGGCAGGGUCCGAAGAGUGUAGAUGCAUCAACUUUCACCAUCAAUCUGUUAAAUUCAGAAUACUGCUAAUCUGCUAUCAGUAAAUUGAAGUUGAUAACUUGAUAUUAUUUGUUACUAAGAUAUAGUUUUUCAUUUUCUUUUUAUCUGAAAAAAAGAGCUGAUAUUUGAGAUUACCAUUUAAUCACACUGAAGAGUUUUAUUUUUAAUUCUUUCCUUAUUGAGAAAAUGCAACUUUCCUGAAAUUUCUGGUUGCGGUAUCAAUCUCAUGCCUCUUUAUUUUGGCAAUAACAGUCUUUUGUCCCUUCUUGUUUGGAUUUUUUGUUUCCUAUUUUCAGUUAAUAUUCUGGACGUUUCAGUUCAACUUAAGGUUUCAAGAAAACUGUCAGUGUUAACUGUUAUGCCGUUAUGGUGAUAAGUCUUGAGUAUCAUUUAUCUGAUCUCAAUCAAUUGACACUCACUUAUUGUAGUUAUCAUUCAUAUCAGUAACUUUCCUUUUAAGGGAUGCUGUAAUAAUAUAUACGAAAUCCAUUGUAGGAUUGCAUCUUUCUCUUCUUGGAUAAGUGGGGUUAUGAAAGCCAAAUAUCUGGUUGCAUCAUCAUUCAUUCAUUCAUCAAAGAGUGCGUAGCUAACUGGAAAACUAACAUGUCAGCAUCACUUCUGGAUAUUCUGAUUGUUGAAUCAUUUACUAAUCAUUUUCUCAUUCGAUACGCAAUCCUGUUUUUGAUUAUUCUCUAGAGAUAAAGUGAUACAUUGACAGUUAUUUUGAAUCAGAGGGAGCAGUAAUUACUUAUAGUCAUUCGGUGUAUAUAUUUUUUUCUAACUGUACUUAGGUUAAAAUGUUUUGACUUUUGAUCAUUCCAUACUUGUCUUCCACUGAAUUUUCAGAUUGGAGUUAAUUUGAAUUACCUGAAGGAUGUUGGAGAAUUUAAACUGCAUGUGUAAAAAGAGCAUUUCUUUGGUGAAGAAAGGGCUAAAGUGGCAUCAGCAUUACAUGAAAGGAGUGGCAAGGGUGACACAAAUAGAAAGAAUGAUGAUCCUAGAGUCUGUGGACACAGUAACAGUGAUGUUGAUGGUGCCAUGUGAGUGCUUUGUUGUACAAUUGUUUUUAUUUGUAAUGAAAUUGAAAGAACACUGUUGUAUAUAAUAUCAUAUGGUGAUAGAAUGUGUUUCAAUUCAUUUGCAUUUUUUUUUUCUUUUUCUUUUUUCAAAAUCUUGUCAUCUUUGUCUUAAUGCUAUCACCCCUGAGUAACAUUAUUGAUGAGUUGACAAAACGUGCUUCCAAGAUAUUACUUUAGCUUGGUAAUAACAAAGCAAGGUUCCUUUUUGCCUUGUUGUAUGUAAUGUUAUGAAAUCAAUUGCAGCAUAUAGAUUGUGUUAGGAUAUAAAACUAUUAAUGUGUUAUAUAUCCCAGCAUA
Arachis duranensis is the source of this 1816-nucleotide long non-coding RNA. RefSeq lists it as uncharacterized. NCBI's taxonomy places the organism in Eukaryota, Viridiplantae, Streptophyta, Magnoliopsida, Fabales, Fabaceae. The transcript has 4 exons. The record is from RefSeq and is a predicted model, not a curated record.